RNAcentral lists this ribosomal RNA (859 nucleotides) under uncultured bacterium. RNAcentral describes it as "SSU rRNA". It matches the Rfam family "Bacterial small subunit ribosomal RNA", at positions 524 to 1381 of the family's 1533-position model. The record is from RNAcentral.
UACCGAAGGCCCAAGCGUUCAUCAUAAUUACCGGGCGUAAAGCGCGCGUAGGCGGUUCAUUAAGUUGGCGGUGAAAGCCCCGGGCUCAACCUGGGAGCUGCCUCCAAAACUGAUUCGCUAGAGUACGAAAGAGGGAGGAAGAAUUCCCAGAGUAGCGGGGGAAUGCCUAUAUAUUGUUGAAUAAUACCCUGGGCGAAGGCAGCCUCCUGGUUCUGUACUGACACUGAGGUGCGAAAGCGUGGGUAACGAACAGGAUUAAAUACCCUGGUAGUCCCCGCCGGAAACGAUGACAACCACCUGGUGGGAAUGCAAUGGUUUUCAGUGGCGCGCCUAACGUCUUACGUUGUCCGCCUGGGCAGUACGGCCGCAAGGUUAAAACUCAAAUGAAUUGACGGGGACCCGCACAAGCGGUGGAGCAUGUGGUUUAAUUUGAUGCAACGCGAAUAAACCUUGCGUACUCUAGCCAUCCUUGGAAUCUCUUGUAAUGAGAGACUGCCUUUUGGAGACAAGUGACAGGUGCGGCAUGGCUGUCGUCAGCUCGAGUCGUGAGAUGUUCCGGUAAGUCGGAUAACGAGCGCAACCCUUACCCUUCUUUGCCAUCGGGUCGGCCGGGAACUAUAAGGGGGCUCCCGGCGAUAAACCGGAGGAAGGUGAGGGCGCCGUCCAGUCCUCAUGGCCCUUACGAUUAGGGCUCCCCCCGUGCUACAAUGGGAAGUGCCGAGGGACGUCAAAGCGUGAACGGGAGGUAAUUUCAUAAAACUUUUCGCAGUCCGGAUUGCAGUCUGCAACUCGACUGCAUGAAGUCGGAAUCGCUAGUAAUCGCGGAUCAGCACCCCGCGGUGAAUACGUUCUCGGGUCU